AGCAAAGUCACUUUCCCUUCGGGGCAUUGGAGACAGGUGGUGCAUGGUUGUCGUCAGCUCGUGUCGUGAGAUGUUGGGUUAAGUCCCGCAACGAGCGCAACCCCUAUUUCCAGUAGCCAGCAAGAAAGAUGGGAACUCUGGAGAGACUGCCCGGGAUAACUGGGAGGAGGGCGGGGAUGACGUCAAAUCAUCAUGCCCCUUAUGAUCAGGGCUACACACGUGCUACAAUGGCGUAAACAAAGGGAAGCGAAGUGGUGACACGAAGCAAAUCCGAAAAAUAACGUCUCAGUUCGGAUUGUAGUCUGCAACUCGACUACAUGAAGCUGGAAUCGCUAGUAAUCGCGAAUCAGAAUGUCGUGGUGAAUACGUUCCCGGGUCUUGUACACACCGCCCGUCACACCAUGGGAGUCGGAAAUGCCCGAAGUCAGUGACCCAACCGAGAGGAGGGAGCUGCCGAAGGUGGAGCCGGUAACUGGGGUGAAGUCGUAACAAGGUAGCCGUAUCGGAAGGUGCGGC
Molecule: ribosomal RNA, 516 nt
Filed under: uncultured bacterium
Lineage: Bacteria
Description: bacterial SSU rRNA
Rfam family: Bacterial small subunit ribosomal RNA
Source: RNAcentral